This 212-nucleotide unclassified non-coding RNA is filed under the name Hevea brasiliensis (rubber tree). The record is from RNAcentral. Lineage: Eukaryota; Viridiplantae; Streptophyta; Magnoliopsida; Malpighiales; Euphorbiaceae.
UCCAAUUCCUUUAUUCACUAUCUUUAAGUAACCAUAAAGGCAUGCCAAAAAAGAAAUAUUUUUCUCGUUUGUUUCAAAAGCAAAGUAAUUGUUGUCAAUUUGUCACUCAUUAAUUUCAAAAAUAUCCACAUCCAUAACAUAAAAUAUUUAUCUGUAAAUAAUGUCGCUCCAAAUGUGGAGUAAAACUCAUAAUUUCCAAGUGCAUAAUUUAC